This 460-nucleotide ribosomal RNA is filed under the name uncultured bacterium. RNAcentral describes it as "partial 16S ribosomal RNA". It matches the Rfam family "Bacterial small subunit ribosomal RNA", at positions 338 to 795 of the family's 1533-position model. The record is from RNAcentral.
CCUACGGGUGACUGCAGUGAGGAAUAUUGGUCAAUGGACGCAAGUCUGAACCAGCCAUGCCGCGUGCAGGAAGACGGCUCUAUGAGUUGUAAACUGCUUUUGUACGAGGGUAAACUCAGAUACGCGUCUCUUUCUGAAAGUAUCUUACGAAUAAGGAUCGGCUAACUCCGUUCCAGCAGCCGCGGUAAUACGGAGGAUUCAAGCGUUAUCCGGAUUUAUUGGGUUUAAAGGGUGCGUAGGCGGUCGGAUAAGUUAGAGGUGAAAUCCCGAGGCUCAACUUCGGAAUUGCCGCUGAUACUGUUCGGCUAGAGAGUAGUGGCGGUAGGCGGAAUGUAUGGUGUAGCGGUGAAAUGCUUAGAGAUCAUACAGAACACCGAUUGCGAAGGCAGCUUACCAAGCUACUUCUGACGUUGAGGCACGAAAGCGUGGGGAGCAAACAGGAUUAGAUACCCCUGUAGUC